RNAcentral lists this ribosomal RNA (364 nucleotides) under uncultured bacterium. RNAcentral describes it as "bacterial SSU rRNA". It matches the Rfam family "Bacterial small subunit ribosomal RNA", at positions 28 to 391 of the family's 1533-position model. The record is from RNAcentral.
GACGAACGCUGGCGGCGUGCUUAACACAUGCAAGUCGAACGAGGCCCUGCCUUCGGGCAGGUGAUCUAGUGGCGAACGGGUGAGUAACACGUGGGCAACCUACCCUCAGCUCUGGGAUAACCCCGGGAAACCGGAGCUAAUACCGGAUACGACCAGGAACGACAUCGUGCCUGGUGGAAAGUUUUUACGGCUGAGGAUGGGCCCGCGGCCUAUCAGCUUGUUGGUGGGGUAAUGGCCUACCAAGGCGACGACGGGUAGCCGGCCUGAGAGGGCGAACGGCCACACUGGGACUGAGACACGGCCCAGACUCCUACGGGAGGCAGCAGGUGGGGAAUAUUGCGCAAUGGGCGAAAGCCUGACGCAG